AUUGAACGCUGGCGGCAGGCCUAACACAUGCAAGUCGAACGGUAACAGGAAGCAGCUUGCUGCUUUGCUGACGAGUGGCGGACGGGUGAGUAAUGUCUGGGAAACUGCCCGAUGGAGGGGGAUAACUACUGGAAACGGUAGCUAAUACCGCAUAACGUCGCAAGACCAAAGAGGGGGACCUUAGGGCCUCUUGCCAUCGGAUGUGCCCAGAUGGGAUUAGCUAGUAGGUGGGGUAACGGCUCACCUAGGCGACGAUCCCUAGCUGGUCUGAGAGGAUGACCGGCCACACUGGAACUGAGACACGGUCCAGACUCCUACGGGAGGCAGCAGUGGGGAAUAUUGCACAAUGGGCGCAAGCCUGAUGCAGCCAUGCCGCGUGUAUGGAGAAGGCCUUCGGGUUGUAAAGUACUUUCAGCGGGGAGGAAGGGAGUAAAGUUAAUACCUUUGCUCAUUGACGUUACCCGCAGAAGAAGCACCGGCUAACUCCGUG
RNAcentral lists this ribosomal RNA (490 nucleotides) under uncultured bacterium. Its description in RNAcentral is "partial 16S ribosomal RNA". It matches the Rfam family "Bacterial small subunit ribosomal RNA", at positions 30 to 507 of the family's 1533-position model. The record is from RNAcentral.